GGCCUCAUACAUGCAAGUCGAGCGCGAAAGUCCGCAAGGAUGAGUAAAGCGGCGCACGGGUGAGUAACACGUGGAUAAUCUACCCUUUGGAUUGGAAUAACCUGUCGAAAGACGGGCUAAUGCCAAGUAAGCUUAUGGCUUCGUGAAGUUGCUAUAAGGAAAGAUGGCGCAAGCUAUCGCCGAAGGAUGAGUCUGCGCCCCAUUAGUUAGUUGGUGAGGUAAUGGCUUACCAAGACAAUGAUGGGUACCUGGUCUGAGAGGAUGAUCAGGCACACUGGAACUGAAACACGGUCCAGACUCCUACGGGAGGCAGCAGUAGGGAAUAUUGCGCAAUGGGCGAAAGCCUGACGCAGCCACGCCGCGUGAGUGAGGAAGGCCUUCGGGUUGUAAAGCUC
RNAcentral lists this ribosomal RNA (395 nucleotides) under uncultured organism. Its description in RNAcentral is "bacterial SSU rRNA". It matches the Rfam family "Bacterial small subunit ribosomal RNA", at positions 45 to 433 of the family's 1533-position model. The record is from RNAcentral.